Molecule: ribosomal RNA, 163 nt
Filed under: Chalara sp.
Lineage: Eukaryota; Fungi; Ascomycota; Leotiomycetes; Helotiales
Description: partial small subunit ribosomal RNA
Rfam family: Eukaryotic small subunit ribosomal RNA
Source: RNAcentral
CGUUGAUUACGUCCCUGCCCUUUGUACACACCGCCCGUCGCUACUACCGAUUGAAUGGCCCAGUGAGGCAUUCCGACUGGCCCGAGGAUGUUGGCAACGACAACCUUAGGCUGGGAAGUUUGUCAAACUUGGUCAUUUAGAGGAAGUAAAAGUCGUAACAAGG